AGUGGCGGAUGGGUGAGUAACGCGUGGGCAACCUACCCUGUACAGGGGGAUAACAAUGGGAAACCAUUGCUAAUACCCCAUGAUACCUUUUAAGGGCAUCCUUAAAAGGUCAAAGAAUUUCGGUAUAGGAUGGGCCCGCGUCUGAUUAGCUAGUUGGUAGGGUAAUGGCCUACCAAAGCAACGAUCAGUAGCCGGCCUGAGAGGGUGAACGGCCACACUGGAACUGAGACACGGUCCAGACUCCUACGGGAGGCAGCAGUGGGGAAUAUUGCACAAUGGGGGAAACCCUGAUGCAGCAACGCCGCGUGAGCGAUGAAGGCUUUCGAGUCGUAAAGCUCUGUCCUAAGGGAAGAUAAUGACGGUACCUUAGGAGGAAGCCCCGGCUAACUACGUGCCAGCAGCCGCGGUAAUACGUAGGGGGCAAGCGUUAUCCGGAAUUAUUGGGCGUAAAGGGUGCGUAGGCGGCCUUAUGGGUCAGAGGUUAAAUACUACGGCUUAACCGUAGUAUGCCUUUGAAACUAUAGGGCUUGAGUGCAGGAGAGGAGAGUGGAAUUCCUAGUGUAGCGGUGAAAUGCGUAGAUAUUAGGAGGAAUACCAGUGGCGAAAGGCGACUCUCUGGACUGCAACUGACGCUAAGGCACGAAAGCGUGGGUAGCGAACAGGAUUAGAUACCCUGGUAGUCCACGCCGUAAACGAUGAGUGCUAGGUGUUGGGGGUCAAACCUCGGUGCCGCAGUUAACGCAUUAAGCACUCCGCCUGGGGAGUACGUUCGCAAGAAUAAAACUCAAAGGAAUUGACGGGGACCCGCACAAGCAGCGGAGCAUGUGGUUUAAUUCGAAGCAACGCGAAGAACCUUACCAGGGCUUGACAUCCCUUGACGAUCCUAGAGAUAGGAUUUCUCUUCGGAGCAAGGAGACAGGUGGUGCAUGGUUGUCGUCAGCUCGUGUCGUGAGAUGUUAGGUUAAGUCCCGCAACGAGCGCAACCCCCGUUGUUAGUUGCCAUCAUUUAGUUGGGCACUCUAGCAAGACUGCCGGUGACAAAUCGGAGGAAGGUGGGGACGACGUCAAAUCAUCAUGCCCCUUAUGUCCUGGGCUACACACGUACUACAAUGGCUGUUACAGAGGGAAGCGAAACCGCGAGGAGGAGCAAACCCCCAAAGGCAGCCCCAGUUCGGAUUGCAGGCUGAAACCCGCCUGCAUGAAGUCGGAAUUGCUAGUAAUGGCAGGUCAGCAUACUGCCGUGAAUACGUUCCCGGGCCUUGUACACACCGCCCGUCACACCAUGAGAGUCUGCAACACCCGAAGUCAGUAGUCUAACCGUAAGGAGGACGCUGCCGAAGGUGGGGCCGAUGAUUGGGGUGAAGUCGUAACAAGGUAGCCG
RNAcentral lists this ribosomal RNA (1381 nucleotides) under uncultured bacterium. RNAcentral describes it as "16S ribosomal RNA". It matches the Rfam family "Bacterial small subunit ribosomal RNA". The record is from RNAcentral.